This 448-nucleotide ribosomal RNA is filed under the name uncultured bacterium. RNAcentral describes it as "partial 16S ribosomal RNA". It matches the Rfam family "Bacterial small subunit ribosomal RNA", at positions 328 to 793 of the family's 1533-position model. The record is from RNAcentral.
GUGCCAGACUCCUACGGGAGGCAGCAGUGGGGAAUAUUGCACAAUGGGGGGAACCCUGAUGCAGCGACGCCGCGUGGGUGAAGGAGUACUUCGGUACGUAAAGCCCUAUCAGCAGGAAAGAAAAUGACGGUACCUGACUAAGAAGCCCCGGCUAACUACGUGCCAGCAGCCGCGGUAAUACGUAGGGGGCAAGCGUUAUCCGGAUUUACUGGGUGUAAAGGGGGCGCAGACGGCGAUGCAAGCCAGGAGUGAAAGCCCGGGGCCCAACCCCGGGACUGCUCUUGGAACUGCGCGGCUGGAGUGCAGGAGGGGCAGGCGGAAUUCCUAGUGUAGCGGUGAAAUGCGUAGAUAUUAGGAGGAACACCAGUGGCGAAGGCGGCUUGCUGGACUGUAACUGACGUUGAGGCUCGAAAGCGUGGGGAGCAAACAGGAUUAGAUACCCCGGUAU